Molecule: long non-coding RNA, 332 nt
Organism: Manis pentadactyla (Chinese pangolin)
Lineage: Eukaryota; Metazoa; Chordata; Mammalia; Pholidota; Manidae
Exons: 3
Source: RefSeq, a predicted model, not a curated record
GUGCUCCCAGUGACCAGAGCAGUGGAACCUCUUCCCCUCUCUGUGACAGUGGCUUACACCUCAACUACCAUCCCAACAACACAGACACAUUGUCAUGUUCCUCAUGGCCAGCGUCUCCGGGCUUGCGAUGGGAGAAGAGGUGGUGCGACCUGAGGCUGAUCCCCCUACUGCACUCGCGCCUCUCUCAGUAUGUGCCUGGGACAGAUUUGUGUCGGCAGAAUGCUUUUCAAGUCACUGCUGUGGAUGGGGUCUGCAGUGGGAUCAUUCAGUGCCUAUCUGGUGAAGAAUGUAUUGACAGGCUACAAGCAAUAGCAACUAAUAUUUCAAACCUC